Molecule: ribosomal RNA, 301 nt
Filed under: uncultured bacterium
Lineage: Bacteria
Description: partial 16S ribosomal RNA
Rfam family: Bacterial small subunit ribosomal RNA
Source: RNAcentral
CAGCAGCCGCGGGAAUACGUAGGUGGCAAGCGUUGUCCGGAAUUAUUGGGCGUAAAGGGCUCGCAGGCGGUUUCUUAAGUCUGAUGUGAAAGCCCCCGGCUCAACCGGGGAGGGUCAUUGGAAACUGGGAAACUUGAGUGCAGAAGAGGAGAGUGGAAUUCCACGUGUAGCGGUGAAAUGCGUAGAGAUGUGGAGGAACACCAGUGGCGAAGGCGACUCUCUGGUCUGUAAUUGACGCUGAGGAGCGAAAGCGUGGGGAGCGAACAGGAUUAGAUACCCCAGUAGUCCCUGUCUCUUAUAC